UGGGGAAUAUUGCACAAUGGGCGCAAGCCUGAUGCAGCCAUGCCGCGUGUGUGAAGAAGGCCUUCGGGUUGUAAAGCACUUUCAGCGAGGAGGAAGGGUAGUGUGUUAAUAGCACAUUGCAUUGACGUUACUCGCAGAAGAAGCACCGGCUAACUCCGUGCCAGCAGCCGCGGUAAUACGGAGGGUGCAAGCGUUAAUCGGAAUUACUGGGCGUAAAGCGCACGCAGGCGGUUUGUUAAGUCAGAUGUGAAAUCCCCGCGCUUAACGUGGAACUGCAUUUGAAACUGGCAAGCUAGAGUCUUGUAGAGGGGGGUAGAAUUCCAGGUGUAGCGGUGAAAUGCGUAGAGAUCUGGAGGAAUACCGGUGCGAAGGCGGCCCCCCUGGACAAAGACUGACG
Molecule: ribosomal RNA, 397 nt
Filed under: uncultured bacterium
Lineage: Bacteria
Description: partial 16S ribosomal RNA
Rfam family: Bacterial small subunit ribosomal RNA
Source: RNAcentral